RNAcentral lists this transfer RNA (77 nucleotides) under Methylocella sp. Its description in RNAcentral is "tRNA-Arg". It matches the Rfam family "tRNA". Rfam says of the family: Transfer RNA (tRNA) molecules are approximately 80 nucleotides in length. Lineage: Bacteria; Pseudomonadati; Pseudomonadota; Alphaproteobacteria; Hyphomicrobiales; Beijerinckiaceae. RNAcentral also lists the same sequence under 2 other names. The record is from RNAcentral.
GGCCCCGUAGCUCAGUUGGAUAGAGCAGCCGCCUUCUAAGCGGCAGGUCGCAGGUUCGAGCCCUGCCGGGGUCGCCA